RNAcentral lists this ribosomal RNA (613 nucleotides) under uncultured Bacillota bacterium. RNAcentral's name for it is "bacterial SSU rRNA". It matches the Rfam family "Bacterial small subunit ribosomal RNA", at positions 252 to 858 of the family's 1533-position model. Lineage: Bacteria; Bacillati; Bacillota. The record is from RNAcentral.
GUGAGGUAACGGCUCACCAAGGCAACGAUGCGUAGCCUACUCUGAGAGGGUGAUCGGCCACAUGGGACUGAGACACGGCCCAGAAUUCUACGGGAGGCAGCCGUAGGGAAUUUUCCACAAUGGACGAAAGCCUGAUCCGCACCGCCGGGUGAGCGAAGAGGCCUUUGGGUUGUAAAAGCACUGUUCUUAGGGAAGAACAGCUUCGAGAGUAAUACUUCGCACGAAGGACAUCCCUAACCGAAAAAGCACGGGCAAAUACGUGCCCGCCGGCGGGGUAAUUAGUAGGGGGCCAGGGUUUUCUGGAAUUAUUGGGGGUAAAGCGCGGGCUGGGCGUUUUGAUCAUCUGAUUGGAAAAGCCCCGGGUUCACCGUGGAGGGUGCAUCGAAAAUGGUCGACUUGAGUGCCGAAGAGGGGAGUGGAAUUUCACGUGUAACGGUGAAAUGGGUAGAGAAUUGGAGGAACACCAGUGGGGAAGGGGACCCUUUGGUAUGUACAUGACGGUGAGGCGGGAAAAGGUGGGGAGCAAACCGGAUUAGAUUCCCUGGUAGUUCCAGCCGUAAACGGUGAUUGAUAAGUGUUAGAGGGCUCCGCCCUUUAGUGGUGCAGUUAACGC